RNAcentral lists this long non-coding RNA (249 nucleotides) under Mytilus galloprovincialis (Mediterranean mussel). The record is from RNAcentral. Lineage: Eukaryota; Metazoa; Mollusca; Bivalvia; Mytilida; Mytilidae.
UAACAUUGCAUUGUUUUGUCCAUUGACAUGGGACUGUCGAUUAGGUUUAAUCCAUGAAGUGUCAUUUGUAUAUGAUUUUGUAUCGAGAUUCAGAUGGAUAAAUACUUUUUAAACACAGGGCAAGCAAGACAAAAAGAAUAAUGAGUCGAGUAAAAAACCUAAAACGUAAAAGGAGGAUAAGGAGCAUUAAAAAAAAAUUCGGAAGCGAAAAUUUCAGACAGCGUGAAUAUCAGAUUAAUAUAAAAAAAC